Non-coding RNA from Linepithema humile (Argentine ant), 226 nucleotides. NCBI's taxonomy places the organism in Eukaryota, Metazoa, Arthropoda, Insecta, Hymenoptera, Formicidae. The record is from RefSeq and is a predicted model, not a curated record.
CCCAAUAUAAACUGGAUAAGGAAGUAGUAGAUAAUAUAUUGAAACAUUAUAAACUUUAUGUAAACAUCACACAAGAUACUUCAGAGCAAAUAGGAAUAGUAGAAGAUAAUAUGCAAGAAUUGUUUGACAAAGCACUAGAGAAUAACAAAAGGACAGAUCUUUUAAAGGAAAAAUAAUAUAUAACAUGUAUAUAGAAAAAUAAUUUAUUAAAGAUUAUUUCUAUGUU